AAAAAAUACCUAAAACAGGGGAAGUUACAAAACAAUUUGUAAUGUGAGCUGCUGACAGAGAUACAGGAAACACAGAGCUGGAGCGGAGCAGAUCUCCUGUCGAAGAACAUCUCCAAAGCACCAUGAACCAUCUGACUAGGCAGUUCGUGAAGACGGAUAACCUGGACAGAAGUCGGUUCCAGAUCCAGCCUCCACACCAGACUUCUCACUCACAAGGAUUGCUGUCUACUAGAUAUUAUGUGUACUCUUCAGACUUAGGUUCAUGCAGAUAUUAUUCAGGGACAUGAACACUUGAAUACUGCAAAAAUAGAGAAACUACCUUAUUUAAGAAUUUUGUGUUAAUUGCGUGAACAUUAAACAAAUAUAUUUAUUUUACUGUUUUUUGUUUUGUAUUCCAAAGCACCUAAAAGCCAAUUCACACUGCCAUACUCCAACAGGGUGAACACACUGACCAAGCAAAACAAAUAAGCAUGUUUUUAUAGUUUUUGUGAAAGUGUGAACUGACAAUGCUGUAUGUUAGGUGUGAGAUUCAUUCAACUUGGUUUGCUGAUUAAACAUGAUUAAAUAUUUGUUCAGAAUAUUUUGUUGUUGUUGUGACUAUUCAUCUAGGAGGGGUGUGUAUCAAGUGGCUUGGUUAUGGUUUUGUUGAGGCUGACAUGUGGAACCCAUCUGAUCCAGCGUAUAGGACCAGAACAGGGCCAGCUAUGGUCAUACAGAACCUCAGAUCCCACAUAGCAAUUUUUCUCUGGCCCAGCUCCGGCCCACACAAUCAGCUUUUGCUUG
Molecule: long non-coding RNA, 783 nt
Organism: Onychostoma macrolepis
Lineage: Eukaryota; Metazoa; Chordata; Actinopteri; Cypriniformes; Cyprinidae
Exons: 3
Source: RefSeq, a predicted model, not a curated record